UUUGUCCUACGGGGGGCAGCAGUGGGGGAUAUUGCACAAUGGGGGCAACCCUGAUGCAGCGACGCCGCGUGAGCGAUGGAGUACUUCGGUAUGUAAAGCUCUGUCAGCAGGGAAGAGAAUGACGGUACCUAACCAAGAAGCCCCGGCUAAAUACGUGCCAGCAGCCGCGGUAAUACGUAUGGGGCAAGCGUUAUCCGGAUUUAUUGGGUUUAAAGGGUGCGUAGGCGGAAUAUCAAGUCAGCGGUAAAAAUUCGGGGCUCAACCCCGUCGUGCCGUUGAAACUGAUGUUCUUGAGUGGGCGAGAA
This 305-nucleotide ribosomal RNA is filed under the name uncultured bacterium. Its description in RNAcentral is "bacterial SSU rRNA". It matches the Rfam family "Bacterial small subunit ribosomal RNA", at positions 333 to 656 of the family's 1533-position model. The record is from RNAcentral.